Molecule: transfer RNA, 76 nt
Filed under: Oerskovia turbata
Lineage: Bacteria; Bacillati; Actinomycetota; Actinomycetes; Micrococcales; Cellulomonadaceae
Also listed under: 3 other names
Description: tRNA-Arg
Rfam family: tRNA
About the family: Transfer RNA (tRNA) molecules are approximately 80 nucleotides in length. Their secondary structure includes four short double-helical elements and three loops (D, anti-codon, and T loops).
Source: RNAcentral
GCCCUCGUAGCUCAGUGGAUAGAGCGUCUGCCUCCGGAGCAGAAGGUCGUAGGUUCGAGUCCUAUCGAGGGCACCG